RNAcentral lists this ribosomal RNA (497 nucleotides) under uncultured bacterium. Its description in RNAcentral is "partial 16S ribosomal RNA". It matches the Rfam family "Bacterial small subunit ribosomal RNA", at positions 28 to 507 of the family's 1533-position model. The record is from RNAcentral.
GAUGAACGCUGGCGGCGUGCCUAAUACAUGCAAGUCGAGCGAACAGACGAGGAGCUUGCUCCUUUGACGUUAGCGGCGGACGGGUGAGUAACACGUGGGUAACCUACCUAUAAGACUGGGAUAACUUCGGGAAACCGGAGCUAAUACCGGAUAAUAUUUCGAACCGCAUGGUUCGAUAGUGAAAGAUGGCUUUGCUAUCACUUAUAGAUGGACCUACGCCGUAUUAGCUAGUUGGUAAGGUAACGGCUUACCAAGGCAACGAUACGUAGCCGACCUGAGAGGGUGAUCGGCCACACUGGAACUGAGACACGGUCCAGACUCCUACGGGAGGCAGCAGUAGGGAAUAUUCCACAAUGGGCGAAAGCCUGACGGAGCAACGCCGCGUGAGUGAUGAAGGUCUUCGGAUCGUAAAACUCUGUUAUUAGGGAAGAACAAACGUGUAAGUAACUGUGCACGUCUUGACGGUACCUAAACAGAAAGCCACGGCUAACUACGUG